GUAGGUAGCCUAGUGGUUAGAGUGUAGGGGAGGCAGGUAGCCUAGUGGUUAGAGUGUAGAGGAGGCAGGUAGCCUAGUGGUUAGAGUGUAGAGGAGGCAGGUAACCUAGUGGUUAGAGUGUAGAGGCGGCAGGUAGCCUAGUGGUUAGAGUGUAGGGGAGGCAGGUAGCCUAGUGGUUAGAGUGUAGAGGCGGCAGGUAGCCUAGUGGUUAGAGUGUGGUGGUGGCAGGUAGCCUAGUGGUUAGAGUGUAGAGGAGGCAGGUAGCCUAGUGGUUAGAGUGUAGAGGAGGCAGGUAGCCUAGUGGUUAGAGUGUAGGGGAGGCAGGUAGCCUAGUGGUUAGAGUGUAGAGGCGGCAGGUAGCCUAGUGGUUAGAGUGUAGUGGUGGCAGGUAGCCUAGUGGUUAGAGAGUAGAGGUGGCAGGUAGCCUAGUGGUUAGAGUGUAGAGGUGGCAGGUAGCCUAGUGGUUAGAGUGUAGAGGUGGCAGGUAGCCUAGUGGUUAGAGUGUAGAGGUGGCAGGUAGCCUAGUGGUUAGAGUGUAGAGGUGGCAGGUAGCCUAGUGGUUAGAGUGUAGAGGAGGCAGGUAGCCUAGUGGUUAGAGUGUAGAGGAGGCAGGUAGCCUAGUGGUUAGAGUGUAGGGGAGGCAGGUAGCCUAGUGGUUAGAGUGUAGAGGAGGCAGGUAGCCUAGUGGUUAGAGUGUAGAGGAGGCAGGUAGCCUAGUGGUUAGAGUGUAGGGGCGGCAGGUAGCCUAGCGGUUAGAGUGUAGGGGCGGCAGGUAGCCUAGUGGUUAGAGGUAGUAGAGGUACUAGAGGUACAGGAGGAAGUAGAGGUACUACAGGAGGAUGUAGAGGUACUACAGGAGGUACUACAGGGGGUAGUAGAGGUACUACAGGAGGUACUACAGGGGGUAGUAGAGGUACUACAGGAGGAAGUAGAGGUACUACAGGGGGUAGUAGAGGUACUACAGGAGGUACUAGAGGAGGAAGUAGAGGUACUAGAGGAGGAAGUAGAGGUACUACAGGGGGUAGUAGAGGUACUACAGGAGGUACUAGAGGAGGAAGUAGAGGUACUAGAGGAGGAAGUAGAGGUACUAGAGGAGGAAGUAGAGGUACUAGAGGAGGUACUAGAGGAGGAAGUAGAGGUACUACAGGAGGUACUAGAGGAGGAAGUAGAGGUACUACUGGAGGUACUAGAGGAGGAGGUAGAGGUACUACAGGAGGUAGUAGAGGUACUAGAGGAGGUAGUAGAGGUACUACAGGAGGUAGUAGAGGUACUAGAGGAGGUACUACAGGAGGUACUAGAGGAGGAAGUAGAGGUACUAGAGGAGGAAGUAGAGGUACUAGAGGAGGUAGUAGAGGUACUAGAGGAGGAAGUAGAGGUACUAGAGGAGGUAGUAGAGGUACUAGAGGAGAAAGUAGAGGUACUAGAGGAGGAGGUAGAGGAGGUAGUAGAGGUACUAGAGGAGGAAGUAGAGGUACUAGAGGAGGAAGUAGAGGUACUAGAGAGACUAGAGAAGAAAUAAGAGCUGAGACCAUUUUCUUCUAGUUGACCUAUGAUCACCUGGGUUACACCAAGAAAACCAUGACAAACCAUUUACCAUGGUCAAGAUAAGGUCUGGGUUGGGUUUAAGAUUUUGGUAAGGGACAAUUAGAUAUAUUAUAACAAAAAGGCAGUGGGUCAUCUCCCCUCUUACCUUCUCAUAGUACUGGAUGUUGUGGUC
RNAcentral lists this long non-coding RNA (1717 nucleotides) under Salmo salar (Atlantic salmon). RNAcentral describes it as "lncRNA (ENSSSAG00000083832.1, ENSSSAG00000116086.1)". The record is from RNAcentral. Lineage: Eukaryota; Metazoa; Chordata; Actinopteri; Salmoniformes; Salmonidae.